Molecule: transfer RNA, 75 nt
Filed under: Schistocerca americana (American grasshopper)
Lineage: Eukaryota; Metazoa; Arthropoda; Insecta; Orthoptera; Acrididae
Also listed under: 1 other name
Description: tRNA-Ser
Rfam family: tRNA
About the family: Transfer RNA (tRNA) molecules are approximately 80 nucleotides in length. Their secondary structure includes four short double-helical elements and three loops (D, anti-codon, and T loops).
Source: RNAcentral
UGCUUGGGUAGCUCAAUUGGUAGAGCACUUGCCCGUGAAAGGCAAAGGUCCCGAGUUCGAGUCUCGGUCCGGCAU